This 303-nucleotide unclassified non-coding RNA is filed under the name uncultured fungus. Its description in RNAcentral is "sequence contains ITS2". The stretch from base 1 to 52 matches the Rfam family "5.8S ribosomal RNA", at positions 103 to 154 of the family's 154-position model. The record is from RNAcentral. Lineage: Eukaryota; Fungi.
AACGCACCUUGCGCUCCUUGGUAUUCCGAGGAGCAUGCCUGUUUGAGUGUCAUUAAAUUCUCAACCACUUCAGCUUUUAUUAGUUGUGAGUGGCUUGGAUGUGGGGGUUUGCGGGCUUUUCUAGAAGUCGGCUCCCUUUAAAUACAUUAGCGGAACCCUUGUGGACCGUCUCUGGUGUGAUAAUUAUCUACGCCAUGGCCGAGAAACAGUUAUACAUGGGGAUCAGCUUCUAACAGUCUACUUGGACAAACACUUUAUUGACAUUUUGACCUCAAAUCAGGUAGGACUACCCGCUGAACUUAA